RNAcentral lists this long non-coding RNA (1235 nucleotides) under Penaeus japonicus. Its description in RNAcentral is "uncharacterized LOC122265185". The record is from RNAcentral. Lineage: Eukaryota; Metazoa; Arthropoda; Malacostraca; Decapoda; Penaeidae.
UGCAUGUCAAUUAUAUAAUGCAUUUCUAAGAAAUGCCGGUCAGUAACGUACAAUUUACGUACAGCAAAAAGUAAGAUGGACAUUAUUUUUUAAAGCGAAUUGCGUAUCCUUUUGUUACAUUAAGAAAUGCAAGUAAAUCCCCCUAAUAUUUUCCUGGAAUUCCGAUCCAAAGGUUAAAAAAACAUGUCGCAAGUAGACUGAGUAACAACAGUGCACGUAAAAAGGAACAUGAUCCUUGAAGAUGUUAGACGUGACCUUGGAAGGGUUGCUAGAUGUAUCGAGACAUUUAUUUUCCUUUUUUUUCUCUCUCACACUUUAUUUGUGCAAUUGCAUUCGUAGUUUAUUGGGUGGGUUUGUGUGUUUGCCCUGUAAAACGUUCGUUCAAGUUUGUUUGUUUUCUAAUUAAAGCAAAAUGUUUUUUUCCCCUAAUAAUAGUCAUACAAGUUUUGGUAACUAAUAAUGCUUCAUAAAACAUGUGCUUUAUAAAGUUCUCAAGAAUUUCUGUUCUCUUAACAUCCACAACGAAGACUAAUACAACACAGCAAAGGCGCAUUUCCCACUGAAAUCAACAUGAUUUUGAUACUAAUUCCCAUCAAGUAGAUACUAGGAGCAGUUAUGUAGGAAAAAUGAAUAAUUCCUUAAGACCAACUGACUUCUCUGUUCCACACAGAUAUUAUUAGAGAAGAAUGCCUAUAUAUAUAUAUAUAUAUAUAUAUAUAUAUAUAUAUAUAUAUAUAUAUAUAUAUAUAUAUGUCGGUGGAUUUGUCGUAUAUGCAUAUCAUGUACGGGGUGAAAUGCCGAACUAACCAUAGAAUGCUUAACGAGAUUACGCAAACGAGCAUGCGUAGCCAGACUUUUUCGGGUAAGGUUAGAUGCCUGAGGGUAAUUGGGAAGUGACCUCACACCUUCUAAACAAGGGUGAGUCCUCACUCGCCUUCCACCCACCACUCUCCCUUUUUUUGUAUAUACAUCAUCUGGAAAAACAUAACAAAAGCUACUCGCAGUUUUCUGAAGAAUCACGCCGAACUGCAGUAACCAUCCAAUGUCAAAUUUGUAUUCAGUGUCAAUAUAUUUUUCUUUUAUUUGUUAUAAUAAAUCUCUAUUAUACUCCAAGCACUUUCCUUUGCCAUAAGAAUAAGAUAAAUAUCCAAUACAAAUAAUCAUUAAUUUAAAUGAAAAGAAUAAAUUAACAUGAAAAAUGAAAUGGAAAAGAACAUAAUACAGAUUUUCUUAAA